RNAcentral lists this ribosomal RNA (460 nucleotides) under uncultured bacterium. Its description in RNAcentral is "partial 16S ribosomal RNA". It matches the Rfam family "Bacterial small subunit ribosomal RNA", at positions 338 to 795 of the family's 1533-position model. The record is from RNAcentral.
CCUACGGUGCGCAGCAGUGAGGAAUAUUGGUCAAUGGGCGCGAGCCUGAACCAGCCAAGUAGCGUGAAGGAUGACUGCCCUACGGGUUGUAAACUUCUUUUAUAAAGGAAUAAAGUGAGGCACGUGUGACUUUUUGUAUGUACUUUAUGAAUAAGGAUCGGCUAACGCCGUGCCAGCAGCAGCGGUAAUAAGGAGGAUCCGAGCGUUAUACGGAUUUAGUGGGUUUAAAGGGAGCGUAGAUGGGGUGUUAAGUCAGUGGUGAAGGUCUGCGGCUUAACCGUAAAAUUGCAAUUGAUACUGGCAGCCUUGAGUACAGUUGAGGUAGGCGGAAUUCGUGGUGUAGCGGUGAAAUGCUUAGAUAUCACGAAGAACUCCGAUGGCGAAGGCAGCUUACUAGACUGCCACUGACAUUGAUGCUCGAAAGUGUGGGUAUCAAACAGGAUUAGAUACCCUUGUAGUC